Long non-coding RNA from Ornithorhynchus anatinus (platypus), 593 nucleotides. RefSeq lists it as uncharacterized. The record is from RefSeq and is a predicted model, not a curated record. The transcript is spliced from 2 exons. NCBI's taxonomy places the organism in Eukaryota, Metazoa, Chordata, Mammalia, Monotremata, Ornithorhynchidae.
AGAGGAAAAAAGAGUCAGAGGGACAGAGAUGUAAUAAAAAGAGCGAAGAAUGAUCAAUUUCAAAGCACCUUCUAGAAGAACGUUCAGUAGCUGGGGAACGAGAGUCACAGAAGAUUGUCUUUGACAUCUUUAGGAGAUACAAUCAAGUAAUUAGAAAAUAAAGGGAUAAUGAAGAAUGGUGGAAGUCUUCAUAAUAGGCUAGAACUUAGAGGACUGUGGUAGAUUUCAGGAAAACAAUGCCACAGUAGGUUUAUAGCUCUGGUGGCAGCUAAGCAUAAGUCAUAACGUGUAAGAAAGUCCCAGAAAUAGACAAAUGGCCUGGGCAAAGGAAACCCUUUAUUGCAUGCAGUAUUUUGACAACUGGAGCAACCACCAACUUCCUUUCUCUCCUUGCAAUUUCAGAUAUGAGCUCUCCUAACAAGGCACCUUAUGGAAGAGUUGCCAGAAUGUGAUUCCUGCCAGUGAAGAAGUCGUUGGGGCCAGGAGGUCCACCGCUUGAGUCCUGGAACCCAAGGGACCUAAGCAGAGUCCUCCAAUGGGUCUUGAACUGUAUUCGUGUUGGGAGGACAUUAAAAGGGUGCUGCAGUAGUGAA